This 521-nucleotide ribosomal RNA is filed under the name Campylobacter coli. RNAcentral's name for it is "bacterial SSU rRNA". It matches the Rfam family "Bacterial small subunit ribosomal RNA", at positions 1 to 537 of the family's 1533-position model. Lineage: Bacteria; Pseudomonadati; Campylobacterota; Epsilonproteobacteria; Campylobacterales; Campylobacteraceae. RNAcentral also lists the same sequence under 1 other name. The record is from RNAcentral.
UUUAUGGAGAGUUUGAUCCUGGCUCAGAGUGAACGCUGGCGGCGUGCCUAAUACAUGCAAGUCGAACGAUGAAGCUUCUAGCUUGCUAGAAGUGGAUUAGUGGCGCACGGGUGAGUAAGGUAUAGUUAAUCUGCCCUACACAAGAGGACAACAGUUGGAAACGACUGCUAAUACUCUAUACUCCUGCUUAACACAAGUUGAGUAGGGAAAGUUUUUCGGUGUAGGAUGAGACUAUAUAGUAUCAGCUAGUUGGUAAGGUAAUGGCUUACCAAGGCUAUGACGCUUAACUGGUCUGAGAGGAUGAUCAGUCACACUGGAACUGAGACACGGUCCAGACUCCUACGGGAGGCAGCAGUAGGGAAUAUUGCGCAAUGGGGGAAACCCUGACGCAGCAACGCCGCGUGGAGGAUGACACUUUUCGGAGCGUAAACUCCUUUUCUUAGGGAAGAAUUCUGACGGUACCUAAGGAAUAAGCACCGGCUAACUCCGUGCCAGCAGCCGCGGUAAUACGGAGGGUGCAA